Molecule: transfer RNA, 65 nt
Filed under: Orseolia oryzae (Asian rice gall midge)
Lineage: Eukaryota; Metazoa; Arthropoda; Insecta; Diptera; Cecidomyiidae
Description: tRNA-Met
Source: RNAcentral
UUAAUUAUAAGCUAAAUAAAGCUAAUGGAUUCAUAUUUCAUUUAUAUAAAAAUUUUUAAAAAAAA